RNAcentral lists this ribosomal RNA (424 nucleotides) under uncultured cyanobacterium. Its description in RNAcentral is "bacterial SSU rRNA". It matches the Rfam family "Bacterial small subunit ribosomal RNA", at positions 356 to 795 of the family's 1533-position model. The record is from RNAcentral. Lineage: Bacteria; Bacillati; Cyanobacteriota.
GGGGAAUUUUCCGCAAUGGGCGAAAGCCUGACGGAGCAACGCCGCGUGAGGGAUGAAGGCCUCUGGGCUGUAAACCUCUUUUCUCAGGGAAUAAGAACUGAAGGUACCUGAGGAAUCAGCAUCGGCUAACUCCGUGCCAGCAGCCGCGGUAAUACGGAGGAUGCAAGCGUUAUCCGGAAUGAUUGGGCGUAAAGCGUCCGCAGGUGGUUUAUCAAGUCUGCUGUCAAAGAGUUUGGCUCAACCAAAUAAAGGCAGUGGAAACUGACAGACUGGAGUGCGGUAAGGGCAGAGGGAAUUCCUGGUGUAGCGGUGAAAUGCGUAGAGAUCAGGAAGAACACCGGUGGCGAAAGCGCUCUGCUGGGCCGUAACUGACACUGAGGGACGAAAGCUAGGGGAGCGAAUGGGAUUAGAUACCCCAGUAGUC